GCCACCAUCAUAGUUGCGCUCCAUUCGAUUGAACUUUGUCUCAAUGCCAUGCAAGUACCUUGAGCAAAGAGUCAUGCACUCAUUUGCAAUGUAUGCCUCUGCAAUUGAACCCUCUACACAAGCUCUAUUACGAAUACAUGACUUAAAUGAAUAUAAUGCUCGUUCUAUUGGGUACAUCCAACGAUAUUGUACUGGUCCACCAAUUUUAGCUUCAUUAGCCAAAUGCAUAGGCAAAUGCACCAUAAUGUCAAAGAAUGAAGGUGGAAAGAUCAUUUCUAGCUUACAAAGAGUUAUAGGAAUUUGCUUUUCUAAUUGCUCCAAUACAUCUACCUUUAAUGACUUUG
RNAcentral lists this unclassified non-coding RNA (344 nucleotides) under Hevea brasiliensis (rubber tree). The record is from RNAcentral. Lineage: Eukaryota; Viridiplantae; Streptophyta; Magnoliopsida; Malpighiales; Euphorbiaceae.